Molecule: non-coding RNA, 623 nt
Organism: Carassius gibelio (silver crucian carp)
Lineage: Eukaryota; Metazoa; Chordata; Actinopteri; Cypriniformes; Cyprinidae
Source: the annotation of a RefSeq genome assembly
UGACGCAAAUCAAAAACAUGCACAGUGUGAGCUGCACAUCAAGUCUGAUCUGUAUCUCUGUGUAGGAAGGAAUCUUGUUCUUUUUCAUUCUUUUUCGUUUCAUUCAUCAUUUGAGAACCUGUAAAGCUGAGCUGUAUCAACAUCCUAAAAGCACUUGGUAAAAAGACCUAGCAUGAUGAACACUCUCCUUAACAUAUUUGUAUAUCUAAUGAUGAUAACAGUUGUCUGUCUUGGUGAAACUGUUCUCCAGACGCCUGAAGAUCUACUGAAGAAACAAGAUGAAUCUGCUGUGAUCACUUGUACUCACAAGAUACCGAGCUAUGACCGAAUACUGUGGUACAAACAAAGUCAGGACUCAUUGGGCUUAAAGUUGAUGGGAUACCUUAUUGUUGAGUCUAAGAAUAAAGAGCCUGGAUUUGAAAACAAGAUCAACUUGGAAGGAGAUGGAAGAAAUAAAGGCAUUCUGACUCUCAGCAACCUCUCACCGACUGACAGUGCAGUGUAUUUCUGUGCAGCAUAUUACACAGUGCUCAGAGUCACCUCUGUCUGAUACAAAAACCUCUUUUAAACUGCUUAUACUUCAAAAGCGUAUAUUUUAUCAUGUUCAUCUCCACAUCUGCAGG